Molecule: ribosomal RNA, 193 nt
Filed under: uncultured Geobacter sp.
Lineage: Bacteria; Pseudomonadati; Thermodesulfobacteriota; Desulfuromonadia; Geobacterales; Geobacteraceae
Description: partial 16S ribosomal RNA
Rfam family: Bacterial small subunit ribosomal RNA
Source: RNAcentral
GCCUACGGGAGGCAGCAGUGGGGAAUUUUGCGCAAUGGGGGAAACCCUGACGCAGCAACGCCGCGUGAGUGAUGAAGGCUUUCGGGUCGUAAAGCUCUGUCAGAGGGGAAGAAAUGGGUCGUGCUAAUAUCACGACUUCUUGACGGUACCCUCAAAGGAAGCACCGGCUAACUCCGUGCCAGCAGCCGCGGUC